This 574-nucleotide long non-coding RNA is filed under the name Mytilus galloprovincialis (Mediterranean mussel). The record is from RNAcentral. Lineage: Eukaryota; Metazoa; Mollusca; Bivalvia; Mytilida; Mytilidae.
UGACGUUAGGUUUCAGAUUGACGGGUUUUCUUUUUUCGAAGGAUAGUUUGGGUGUAGACAUAUGUUUCUUUGUUUUUUCAAACACAAUGUCAAAUCUGAUAUAUUUAUUUUUCUCUAGUUCAACAUCGUCUUUGUUUUCAUUGCUUUUAAUCAUAUUCUGGUCUGUGACGUUCGGUAUCAGAUUGACGAUUUUUCUUUUUUCCGAGGAUAGUUUGGGUUUAGAGGUAUGUUUCUUUGGUUUUUCAAAAAUUAUGUCAAAACAAGUAUUAACUCUCUUUUCAUAACCGACUUUAUCUGUACCGUCUUCACCAUAUCAUAAGAACUUCCGGUUUGAUCUGAUGGCAGAACUGUCUUUUUCUCCUUGGCUCUUAUUUUUUCAUUAAUGGUAACAUCUAUUGCCUUAUCAUCAGUUACACGCUCUGAGUGGCGUGCAUGCACAUGAUUUAACUCUCCCUCAAGCUUCUUCACCAUAUGGGAUUUAAGAUUGAACCAAUCUUCUUUUUCUUAUAGCAUUAAUUCCAAUUCGAUGAUUCUUUCAUUCUUUCUUUCAAUUCCUUCUUCAAUCAUAUCAAUG